GACCUCAAAUCAGACAAGGAUA
This 22-nucleotide ribosomal RNA is filed under the name Vermispora sp. YXJ13-5. Its description in RNAcentral is "partial 28S large subunit ribosomal RNA". The record is from RNAcentral. Lineage: Eukaryota; Fungi; Ascomycota; Orbiliomycetes; Orbiliales.